GGUGAAACUGUAUUUUUGUAACUGUUAUUACUUAUUAUAAAUAAAUUUGAUUUAUUUAAUUUUUUGUCUAUUAAUUUUGUUUGGUUUAAAAAACCUGAACAAAAUGUUCAAACUGACUAAUGCUACGUUUUAGUAGACUAUUCAUGUUUCAUACUCUUUUUUUUUUAAUUUUUAAUUCUUUAUUUUGUUUGAGAUUACAAAACGUCUUAUUUUUAUUUUUUGAAUUGCUUUAAUAGUUGAAAUUAUGGAGCGGGGGCACUACUGAAAU
Molecule: long non-coding RNA, 268 nt
Filed under: Capsella rubella
Lineage: Eukaryota; Viridiplantae; Streptophyta; Magnoliopsida; Brassicales; Brassicaceae
Description: long non-coding RNA (CRUB_LNC002765)
Source: RNAcentral